RNAcentral lists this ribosomal RNA (423 nucleotides) under uncultured bacterium. RNAcentral describes it as "bacterial SSU rRNA". It matches the Rfam family "Bacterial small subunit ribosomal RNA", at positions 207 to 622 of the family's 1533-position model. The record is from RNAcentral.
AAGACCUUGCGCUUUUGGAGCGGCCGAUGCCUGAUUAGCUUGUUGGUAAGGUAAAAGCUUACCAAGGCUUCGAUCAGUAGCUGGUCUGAGAGGACGGCCAGCCACACUGGGACUGAGACGCGGCCCAGACUCCUACGGGAGGCAGCAGUGGGGAAUUUUGGACAAUGGGGGCAACCCUGAUCCAGCCAUGCCGCGUGAGUGAAGAAGGCCUUCGGGUUGUAAAGCUCUUUCAGCCGGAACGAAACGGUUACGGUUAAUACCCGUGAUUACUGACGGUACCGGAAGAAGAAGCACCGGCUAACUACGUGCCAGCAGCCGCGGUAAUACGUAGGGUGCGAGCGUUAAUCGGAAUUACUGGGCGUAAAGCGUGCGCAGGUGGUUUUGUAAGUCAGAUGUGAAAGCCCCGGGCUCAACCUGGGAACU